This 308-nucleotide long non-coding RNA is filed under the name Buteo japonicus. RNAcentral's name for it is "lncRNA (ENSBJAG00000001566.1)". Lineage: Eukaryota; Metazoa; Chordata; Aves; Accipitriformes; Accipitridae. The record is from RNAcentral.
GCAUUUGGGUACUUAAGCCACACUACAGAAAAGCCUGUAAGCUUCUACUUAAAUCCACCUCCAGUUGGGACAGCAGGAAGGCAUGUGACAAAUUCAGAUCCUGGGUUGAACAGCACAAGAUUCUAGAACAGAUCCUUCAAGAAUCCUUGCUGGUAAAACUACGUUUCUUUUGGGAUAUGAAAUUCUUAAGCCUUCAUCCAGAGAGGAUGCAUUGCUUUAAACUUAUGGCUCCGAAUAACCAAAUCACAGAACUACGGCACUGGAAGGGAGCUCAAGAGACCAGCAAAUCCAUUACCCUGAUUCAUGGC